RNAcentral lists this ribosomal RNA (253 nucleotides) under uncultured bacterium. Its description in RNAcentral is "partial 16S ribosomal RNA". It matches the Rfam family "Bacterial small subunit ribosomal RNA", at positions 524 to 776 of the family's 1533-position model. The record is from RNAcentral.
UACGUAGGAGGCAAGCGUUGUCCGGAAUUACUGGGUGUAAAGCGCGUGUAGGUGGGAGGCCAAGUCUGUGGUGAAAGCGCCCGGCUCAACUGGGCAGAGUCCAUGGAAACUGGUCACCUGGAGGACGGUAGGGGCGAGUGGAAUUCCCGGUGUAGUGGUGAAAUGCGUAGAGAUCGGGAGGAACACCAGUGGCGAAGGCGGCUCGCUGGGCCGGUCCUGACGCUGAGACGCGAAAGCGUGGGGAGCGAACAGG